UAGGGAAUCUUCGGCAAUGGACUAAAGUCUGACCGAGCAACGCCGCGUGAGUGAAGAAGGUUUUCGGAUCGUAAAACUCUGUUGUUAGAGAAGAACAAGGACGUUAGUAACUGAACGUCCCCUGACGGUAUCUAACCAGAAAGCCACGGCUAACUACGUGCCAGCAGCCGCGGUAAUACGUAGGUGGCAAGCGUUGUCCGGAUUUAUUGGGCGUAAAGCGAGCGCAGGCGGUUUCUUAAGUCUGAUGUGAAAGCCCCCGGCUCAACCGGGGAGGGUCAUUGGAACCUGGGAGAAUUGGGUGAAGAAGAGGAGAGUGGAAUUCCAUGUGUAGCGGUGAAAUACGUAGAUAUAUGGAGGAACACCAGUGGCGAAGGCGGCUCUCUGGUCUGUAACUGCCGCUGAGGCUCGAAAGCGUGGGGAGCAAACAGG
This 429-nucleotide ribosomal RNA is filed under the name Gemmatimonadota bacterium. RNAcentral describes it as "Gemmatimonadetes bacterium partial 16S ribosomal RNA". It matches the Rfam family "Bacterial small subunit ribosomal RNA", at positions 355 to 776 of the family's 1533-position model. The record is from RNAcentral. Lineage: Bacteria; Pseudomonadati; Gemmatimonadota.